This is a long non-coding RNA of Leptidea sinapis, 1602 nucleotides long. RefSeq lists it as uncharacterized. Lineage: Eukaryota; Metazoa; Arthropoda; Insecta; Lepidoptera; Pieridae. The transcript has 2 exons. The record is from RefSeq and is a predicted model, not a curated record.
UUGUGUUAUAGAAGAACUAGCUUUUUCAAUAGAAAUGUCACGACAGUAAAUUAAUAGAUCAUCAGCAUACUGAAGAACAUUUACAUUAUUAAGUGAUGAUUUUAAAUCGUGUGUAUAAAUAUUAUACAAUAUUGGGCUAAGUACUGAUCCCUGGGGGAGGCCCUUUGAAACAAGUCGAGUAAUUGACUUCCUGUCAUCUAGUUUCAGGAUUAUGUAUCUUUCGGAAAGCAUGUUUAUGAUAAAAUUUGUUAAUAGCAGAGGUAUAUUAAGUUGUAAAAGCUUACUCUUUAAAAUACUUAUAACGACAUUAUCAUAGGCACAAUUUAUAUCUAAGAACGCAGCUAUUACUGAUUUAUUAUUUGAAAAUGAUAAUUGAAUAUCAGAAAUGAAUAUACUUAAGCUAUCAAUAGUACUUUUCCCACGUCUGAAACCGAAUUGGGAUUCACAUAAUAGACCGUUAUGCUCAACAAACCAUUCUAAACGAUUUUUUAUAAGAUGUUCUGUAAUUUUCAUCAAAACAGAAGUAAGUGCGAUUGGGCGAUAGGCAGAAUGGUCUGAAGAACACCUAUUAGGUUUCAGUACGGGAAUUAUUUCUUGACGUUUCCACGUGGAGGGGAUGUUACCAGAUGUCACUAUGGAAUUUAUAAGAGAUAAAUAAUAAAAUAAAGCAUCAUCAUCUAAAUGAGAGAUAAAGGAAUACGGAAUACCGUCCAGUCCAGGAGCAGAAUCCUUAACAUGAGACAAUACACCUUUUAGUUCAGUGAGAGAAAAUAUACUGUUUAAACCAAAACAGUUAUCAUUAUUUAUAUUUAUUACAGGGUAACCAAUUAUUAAGUCUUCAGGAACGAAAGGUGGAGCCAAUUUAUCUAAAAAGCUAUUAACUAAAUGAAAAGGGAUUGAUUUUGGAGAUGAAUCUUUGUAUGCAGAUCUAAACCUUCUUAUAUUUUGCCAUACCAGAGAUGGUUUGACAUCAGGUUGGAAAUGAUAAUAAUAGUGGGAAGUGAUCACUACCAAAAGUAGAUCGUAAUGGAUCCCAGGACAAAGAAGAAGCAAGAUUAGGUGUAGUGACUGUUAAAUCUGGAGCACUUGGGCCCUCGUCAGGAUGAGAACGUCGUGUAGGACGACCAUCAUUUAAUAUACACAAAUUCACUGAAUCAAAUAUAUCUAUUAAUGUGUUACCAUAACUAUUAGAAGAUAAGUAACCCCAGGAUUCAUGGCGACAGUUAAAAUCACCAAGGAAGAAAGGCUUCGGAAGAAUGGAAAUAAUAUCUUUAAUUUCAUUUAAGAUUGCAGAAGAAGGAUGAGGUAUAUAAAUAGAUACAUAACAGAUAUUUUCAACUAAAGCAGCAAUAAUAGAAAAAUCAUUACUGUGAGAAGGAAUAGAGAAGAGAGAAAAGGAAAGAGGGUGUUUCACAAGCAUGGCUACUCCACCAUGCCCAUCCACACGAUCUUCUCUGAGACAUGAAUAACCACGAAUCUUAAAUAAAGAUCCUGGUUUCAACCAUGUCUCUUGAAGAGCACAGAUAUAAGGUUUAUAUUUAUUUAAUAAAUAAAUAAGAUCACUUUUUUUAGGAGUGAUGCUUUGACAAUUCCAUUGAAGAA